GCAGGCGCCGUCCCUGCGAGCGCUGGGCCAGCUCAUGGGAGCCCUUCUCUGGGCAGAGCUGGCCCCCAUCCGCUUCGAGGACAUGGUGCAGGUCCUGCGGCGCUGGCUCACCUCGGCCCACGCAUGCGAGCGGGAGAGGGCCCUGCAGGUGUGCGUGCAGGUGCUGGGCUCUUAUGAAGAGAGAUGCGAGCACAGGCGAGGCCGUGCCUGCGAGUGGUUCGGCUCCCUGGC
Dromaius novaehollandiae (emu) is the source of this 231-nucleotide long non-coding RNA. RefSeq lists it as uncharacterized. The transcript is spliced from 3 exons. NCBI's taxonomy places the organism in Eukaryota, Metazoa, Chordata, Aves, Casuariiformes, Dromaiidae. The record is from RefSeq and is a predicted model, not a curated record.